UGGGGAAUUUUGGACAAUNGGCGAAAGCCUGAUCCAGCAAUGCCGCGUGCAGGAUGAAGGCCCUCGGGUUGUAAACUGCUCUUGUACGGAACGAAAAGCCUGGGGCUAAUAUCCCCGGGCCAUGACGGUACCGUAAGAAUAAGCACCGGCUAACUACGUGCCAGCAGCCGCGGUAAUACGUAGGGUGCAAGCGUUAAUCGGAAUUACUGGGCGUAAAGCGUGCGCAGGCGGUUUUGUAAGACAGUGGUGAAAUCCCCGGGCUCAACCUGGGAACUGCCAUUGUGACUGCAAGGCUAGAGUGCGGCAGAGGGGGAUGGAAUUCCGCGUGUAGCAGUGAAAUGCGUAGAUAUGCGGAGGAACACCGAUGGCGAAGGCAAUCCCCUGGGCCUGCACUGACGCUCAUGCACGAAAGCGUGGGGAGCAAACAGGAUUAGAUACCCUGGUAGUCCACGCCCUAAACGAUGUCAACUGGUUGUUGGGUCUUAACUGACUCAGUAACGAAGCUAACGCGUGAAGUUGUUCNAGGGUGGGGAGUACGGCCGCAAGGUUG
This 550-nucleotide ribosomal RNA is filed under the name uncultured bacterium. RNAcentral describes it as "bacterial SSU rRNA". It matches the Rfam family "Bacterial small subunit ribosomal RNA", at positions 355 to 896 of the family's 1533-position model. The record is from RNAcentral.